This 215-nucleotide long non-coding RNA is filed under the name Homo sapiens (human). RNAcentral describes it as "non-protein coding lnc-ARSD-2:1". The record is from RNAcentral. Lineage: Eukaryota; Metazoa; Chordata; Mammalia; Primates; Hominidae.
CCCGGGCAAAAGGGUAGCUCUGUUUUUAAACCCGGAGGAGGCAUCUUCCCCCGGGGGUUGCCGGGCUUCUGUUCCUGUGUGUGUUGGUCUCCAGGAAGCCAUGGAGAGCUUGGCAGCAGAGACAGAGUCUCGAUAUGUCGCCAAGCUUGGUCUCAAACUCCAAGGCUCAAGUGCUCAAGUGAUCCACCCACCUCGACCUCCCAAAGUGCUGGGAU